UUUGAACGCUGGCGGCAGGCCUAACACAUGCAAGUCGAGCGGAUGAAGGGAGCUUGCUCCUGGAUUCAGCGGCGGACGGGUGAGUAAUGCCUAGGAAUCUGCCUGGUAGUGGGGGAUAACGUCCGGAAACGGGCGCUAAUACCGCAUACGUCCUGAGGGAGAAAGUGGGGGAUCUUCGGACCUCACGCUAUCAGAUGAGCCUAGGUCGGAUUAGCUAGUUGGUGGGGUAAAGGCCUACCAAGGCGACGAUCCGUAACUGGUCUGAGGGGAUGAUCAGUCACACUGGAACUGAGACACGGUCCAGACUCCUACGGGAGGCAGCAGUGGGGAAUAUUGGACAAUGGGCGAAAGCCUGAUCCAGCCAUGCCGCGUGUGUGAAGAAGGUCUUCGGAUUGUAAAGCACUUUAAGUUGGGAGGAAGGGCAGUAAGUUAAUACCUUGCUGUUUUGACGUUACCAACAGAAUAAGCACCGGCUAACUUCGUG
This 484-nucleotide ribosomal RNA is filed under the name uncultured bacterium. RNAcentral describes it as "partial 16S ribosomal RNA". It matches the Rfam family "Bacterial small subunit ribosomal RNA", at positions 30 to 507 of the family's 1533-position model. The record is from RNAcentral.